AUAAGCAAGAAUUUAAUUUUGGUUCCGAUUGAACGCUUUCCAGUAGUUUAAGGCAUGCAAAUUUAUUUUUAACAACAGUUAAAAAAGUGUAGGGGUGAGGAUAUUAAAUAAGAUACACUAUAAUCUUCAGAAAUAGAAGAUAUAAAAAAGGAAUUUUUCUGUUAUAGAAUUCUAUUUAAUUCGAUUAGGUAGUUGAUGGGGUAAAAGCCUACCAAGCCGACGAUCGAUAGCCAUGUUUGACAGAUCAAAUGGCCACAUUGGGAAUGAGAUAUCCCAAGUAGAGUACUCUACCAGCAGUCGAGAAUAUUAGUCAAUGCUCGCAAGAGUGAACUAGCUAACUGGAAUCACGAAUGUGUCAUUUGUGAUAACGUAAAGGAAAAAUAAUGAUGUCACUUUACUAUUAGUGUUGUCAAAAUCUGGUGCCAGAAGACUCGGUAAGGCCAGAGACGCAAGCGUUAGUCAUCUUGAUCAGGCGUAAAGGGUGUGUAGGCGGCUUUAAAAAAAUAAUAAUUAAAGCUAGAAUCAAAUAGAGGUCACCGUGAGAGAACACUUAGUGUAGGGCUGAUAUCUGUAAAUACUUAGUGGAAUUCUAAUUAGCGAAGGCUCUUUUCCAAAUAAUGAUUGACGCUGAGAAACGAAGGGGAGGAACGACAAUAGGAUUAGAUACCCUGGCAUCCCUCUCUGUCAACGAUGAAUGGUAGUUGCUAGUUCUAAUGAGUUAGUGGCGAUGUAAACACGUUAACCAUUCCGCCUUGUGAGUACAAUUGCAAAGUUGAAAACAAAAAAAUUAGUCGGUUUCGGAGCAAACGAAGUGAAGCAUGUUAUUUAAUACGAUACCCCGCGUAAAACCUUACCAGUUCUUGUAUAACAAACUUUCUUAUUUUAAUUAAAAUUAAUAUUUGAAAGGGAUAGUUUAUUUUUUUUUAAUAAAUUUUUCUAGUUACAGGUGUUGCAUGGCUGUCGUCAGUCCGUAUUUUGAGAAGUGAGGUUAAUUCCGCUAACGGACGAAAUCCCUGUAUUUAAUUUAUACUUAAUUAUUAAUGAUUCUGAUAGAGUUUCAUUUGGGGCUAAGACAAGUCGUUAUGGCUCUCAUGAACUGGGCUAUAGACGUGCCGCAAAAACUUUUACAAAGUGACGCAAAACCACCUGAAAACUUUUAAAUAUAUCAUUUUUCCCUGAAGGCGGCCUGACUCUCUCACAAAGUGAGUCAUCGCCCGCAACAUUUUCGCUAAUUAUUACUAACAUUAGUGAAUAAAAAAAAAUUUUUUUAGAGUUUCUUACAGGUAUCAGGAAGAGCUAAUCAUAAAAGAAAGUUAAAAUAUACACUUUUUCAACCGAAUUGUCAUCUGCAAUUCGAUGACAUGAAGAAGGAAUUUCGAGUAAUCGUUGAUCACUAGGCGCAACGGUGAAUGUGGAAUCCGUGAUGAACUAACUGUCUGUCGCUGGGAAGAAGUUUGGGUAGGAGGAAAAUGGGGCGAAGUUACAUCUUUUUCAAGAGACUGUUUAAAUAAUUUGUAACUUAUUAUUGAGCGAAUAUUUUUGAAAUAAAAAAUUUAACUUAUUAUUAGACAUCUUUUGUUAAGCUAAUUAGCCUUUUUUAAUCAACUUGGAUAACAUUUCAAAAGUCAUAGCAAGGUAGCCGUACCGGAAGGUGCUGCUGGAAAUUAAACAUA
Molecule: ribosomal RNA, 1673 nt
Filed under: Ramaria cf. rubripermanens
Lineage: Eukaryota; Fungi; Basidiomycota; Agaricomycetes; Gomphales; Gomphaceae
Description: small subunit ribosomal RNA
Rfam family: Bacterial small subunit ribosomal RNA
Source: RNAcentral